CGUAGGGAACCUGCCCAUGCGGCCGGGACAACUUCCGGAAACGGAUGCUGAUACCGGACAAGGAAAGCGAAGGCAUCUUUGCUUUGUUAAAGGAGCUGCAAGGCUCCGCGCAUGGAUGGACCUGCGGUGCAUUAGCUGGUUGGUGAGGUAAAGGCUCACCAAGGCGACGAUGCAUAGCCGGCCUGAGAGGGCGAACGGCCACACUGGGACUGAGACACGGCCCAGACUCCUACGGAAGGCAGCAG
RNAcentral lists this ribosomal RNA (245 nucleotides) under uncultured bacterium. Its description in RNAcentral is "partial 16S ribosomal RNA". It matches the Rfam family "Bacterial small subunit ribosomal RNA", at positions 116 to 354 of the family's 1533-position model. The record is from RNAcentral.